UACGGAGGGAGCUAGCGUUGUUCGGAAUUACUGGGCGUAAAGCGCGCGUAGGCGGUCCAUCAAGUCAGAGGUGAAAGCCCGGAGCUCAACUCCGGAACUGCCUUUGAAACUGGCGGACUAGAAUCUUGGAGAGGCGAGUGGAAUUCCGAGUGUAGAGGUGAAAUUCGUAGAUAUUCGGAAGAACACCAGUGGCGAAGGCGACUCGCUGGACAAGUAUUGACGCUGAGGUGCGAAAGCGUGGGGAGCAAACAGG
RNAcentral lists this ribosomal RNA (253 nucleotides) under uncultured bacterium. RNAcentral's name for it is "partial 16S ribosomal RNA". It matches the Rfam family "Bacterial small subunit ribosomal RNA", at positions 524 to 776 of the family's 1533-position model. The record is from RNAcentral.